GAUGAACGCUGGCGGCGUGCCUAAUACAUGCAAGUCGAGCGAACGGACGAGAAGCUUGCUUUUCUGAUGUUAGCGGCGGACGGGUGAGUAACACGUGGAUAACCUACCUAUAAGACUGGGAUAACUUCGGGAAACCGGAGCUAAUACCGGAUAAUAUUUUGAACCGCAUGGUUCAAAAGUGAAAGACGGUCUUGCUGUCACUUAUAGAUGGAUCCGCGCUGCAUUAGCUAGUUGGUAAGGUAACGGCUUACCAAGGCAACGAUGCAUAGCCGACCUGAGAGGGUGAUCGGCCACCCUGGAGCUGAGACGCGGUCCAGACUCCUACGGGAGGCAGCAGUAGGGAAUCUUACGCAAUGGGCGAAAGCCUGACGGAGCAACGCCGCGUGAGUGAUGAAGGUCUUCGGAUCGUAAAACUCUGUUAUUAGGGAAGAACAUAUGUGUAAGUAACUGUGCACAUCUUGACGGUACCUAAUCAGAAAGCCACGGCUAACUACGUG
Molecule: ribosomal RNA, 497 nt
Filed under: uncultured bacterium
Lineage: Bacteria
Description: partial 16S ribosomal RNA
Rfam family: Bacterial small subunit ribosomal RNA
Source: RNAcentral